ACGGUAACAGGUCUUCGGAUGCUGACGAGUGGCGGACGGGUGAGUAACGCGUAGGAAUCUGCCCAUCUGUGGGGGAUACCAGUUGGAAACGACUGUUAAUACCGCAUAAUAUCUGCGGAUUAAAGGUGGCCUUUGCGCUGCCGCAGAUGGAUGAGCCUGCGUUGGAUUAGCUAGUUGGUGGGGUAAGGGCCUACCAAGGCUACGAUCCAUAGCUGAUUUGAGAGGAUGAUCAGCCACAUUGGGACUGAGACACGGCCCAAACUCCUACGGGAGGCAGCAGUGGGGAAUAUUGGACAAUGGGGGAAACCCUGAUCCAGCAAUGCCAUGUGUGUGAAGAAGGCUCUAGGGUUGUAAAGCACUUUAGUUGGGGAGGAAAGCCUGUGAGUUAAUAGCUUGCAGGAAGGACGUUGCCCAAAGAAUAAGGACCG
RNAcentral lists this ribosomal RNA (428 nucleotides) under uncultured Francisella sp. RNAcentral describes it as "bacterial SSU rRNA". It matches the Rfam family "Bacterial small subunit ribosomal RNA", at positions 66 to 495 of the family's 1533-position model. The record is from RNAcentral. Lineage: Bacteria; Pseudomonadati; Pseudomonadota; Gammaproteobacteria; Thiotrichales; Francisellaceae.